RNAcentral lists this ribosomal RNA (870 nucleotides) under Triticum aestivum (bread wheat). RNAcentral describes it as "partial small subunit ribosomal RNA". Lineage: Eukaryota; Viridiplantae; Streptophyta; Magnoliopsida; Poales; Poaceae. The record is from RNAcentral.
AUGCUUGAAUUUUUCGAGAAGAAGCUGAAGCAAGUUGACAACAGAGCUAGGUUCCUCUCUGGUGUUCUGAGUGGUGAUAUCAAGAUCAUUCCCAGGAAGCAAAAGGAUCUGCUACAAGAGAUUGCUGAAAAGGGAUUUGAUACCCUCCCAAAGGAAGUUCUGCCCGCUGCCGUAGGAGCAACAAUAUACAGGGAAGAAAAUGGAAGAAGCCCUGAUGUACAUGCCAGUGAUUAUGAUUAUCUCACCUCCAUGACAAUUUCUGCCUUAAAUGAGGGGUACCUGGAGCAUCUUCUAGAACUAAAGAAGAGGUUUGAAACUAAAGUUGGACUCCUGAGAAGAGCUACACCGGAAUGUCUGAAAUCUGCAAAGAAACGAACUAUAACUCUUGAUAUACAGUUGCUUGAUGCAAACUAUAUAAAAGCUCAAUCAGAUAGAAAGGUUGUGAUAGUCAUUGAUUGCAAACACAACAAGGUAUUUGAAGCAGCCCCCAGGAGACAACAUAAAAGGACUGCAGCCGAGUAUCUUGAGGCAAGUGUGGUGCUGAUGGAUGAUGAUGAGGAUCAUCUUGCUGGAAGUCUCGAGACCCAAGAAUUUAGUGAGACUGAGAACACACAAAAGCAACAAGCAAAGAAGCAGAAGAAACAAAGAAAGAAGCGGGGGAAGGAAGAAAGCAAAACAGGCGCAAUAUCUUGCCGCGGACUAGACUGUCAGGGCCAUGACAGAUCAAGCCAUGCCUUCCUCAACGAAGAAAUUAAGAAGAUUGCAAGUGGCUUAGAUGGUGUUAAGAUCACUCAUGGUAAUAUGGAUCGGAAUAGGGUAGCUCAGGUGUUGGCUAAGUUAAGCCUGCAGGAUGCAUCUGUGUCAGCUUAG